Molecule: non-coding RNA, 46 nt
Organism: Strongyloides venezuelensis
Lineage: Eukaryota; Metazoa; Nematoda; Chromadorea; Rhabditida; Strongyloididae
Source: Rfam
CGAAAGACUCUCUUUAGAGCCACCUAUUAUUAAUAAUAUAUUAUUU